GGCUUAGAGUUUGAUCAUGGCUCAGGAUGAACGCUGGCGGCGUGCCUAACACAUGCAAGUCGAGCGAAGCACUUUACUUGGAUUCUUUCGGGAUGACGAGUGAUUUGACUGAGCGGCGGACGGGUGAGUAACGCGUGGGUAACCUGCCUCACACAGGGGGAUAACAGUUAGAAAUGACUGCUAAUACCGCAUAAGACCCCGGCACCGCAUGGUGCAGGGGUAAAAACUCCGGUGGUGUGAGAUGGACCCGCGUCUGAUUAGGUAGUUGGUGAGGUAACGGCUCACCAAGCCGACGAUCAGUAGCCGGCCUGAGAGGGUGGACGGCCACAUUGGGACUGAGACACGGCCCAAACUCCUACGGGAGGCAGCAGUGGGGAAUAUUGCACAAUGGGGGAAACCCUGAUGCAGCGACGCCGCGUGAGCGAAGAAGUAUUUCGGUAUGUAAAGCUCUAUCAGCAGGGAAGAAACUGACGGUACCUGACUAAGAAGCACCGGCUAAAUACGUGCCAGCAGCCGCGGUAAUACGUAUGGUGCAAGCGUUAUCCGGAUUUACUGGGUGUAAAGGGAGCGUAGACGGAUAGGCAAGUCUGGAGUGAAAACCCGGGGCUCAACCCCGGGACUGCUUUGGAAACUGUUUAUUUAGAGUGCUGGAGAGGUAAGUG
RNAcentral lists this ribosomal RNA (662 nucleotides) under uncultured organism. Its description in RNAcentral is "bacterial SSU rRNA". It matches the Rfam family "Bacterial small subunit ribosomal RNA", at positions 1 to 663 of the family's 1533-position model. The record is from RNAcentral.